RNAcentral lists this long non-coding RNA (989 nucleotides) under Marmota monax (woodchuck). Lineage: Eukaryota; Metazoa; Chordata; Mammalia; Rodentia; Sciuridae. The record is from RNAcentral.
UGGCUCCUUCAUCUUUUCUAGUGCAGAAGCACAAGCAGCAAGAAGAGCUGGAUGUUGGGGUCCCCCUCCCCGUAGAGGAGGCUGAUGCUUAAUUGAAGGCCUUAGCAAAGAGGUGGCCACUGUAGCCCAGGUCCCAUUUUUCUGGGCCUCUUAACUCAAAGGAAUUCCUCCCCCAGGGAGAGGCACUGGAAGCUCUGCCCUAGGAGCUUUGGGCUCUCCAGCCUCACCGGCUGUUCAUUGCAGUUAUCUAAUUGUCCUGGGGCCUGUCCCCACUGCCAUCCUCAGUCCAAGGUAAGUGCCGCAGGAAGAGUAGGAUGGGUAUGCCUGGCUGCUUUCACCCACUUGGCUGCCAUCUACUGAAGGCUUUGAGGCCAGCAAGGCAUUGUUUCAUAGAAGAACAUUGGGAACAUGGAAAAUGUAAAGACAAGGGGGGAUGAUAUUCCCAGUUCAUAGAACGAGGAGACAGCUUAUAACAGAGUACUUUGACGUUCUGCAUACACGGAGUAUAACUUACCAUUCUUGUGGUCAUGGGGUUACACUGGUCGGGUGUUUGUACGUGAACUAGGGGGAGGAGCAGUGGGUGUCCAGGGUAGGAGAGGUCUCAGUGUGUGGUUGUCCUGGAGCCUGAUUACUGAAGCGCUUGGCCUUUGUAAUUUGGGUGGUUUUAAUAAGCAGAGCACACAGGAUGAUUCCUAGAACUCUAGUGAGAUGACAGCGGGGCAAGGUCCCAGCUACCCACUUGACACUGCCUAAAGUCUUAAUGGCAGUGUCUCAGGCUUCCUAUGGCCUUUUUAGGCCCCCCAGGAAUGCAGCCCACAGAGCCUCUGGAAGUGGGGCAGGCCUUGGAGGGAAGCAAGGGGUCCAAAGAGACCAGAACCUGAAGGGGGCCUGGCCUGGUGCUACCCCUGGUACCACUGCAGGCCCACCUCUCAUUGAUUGUCCAAUGAGCAUGGGAAGGGCAAAAGGGCCCGAGCGCCAUUUUCCUGGGG